GCGGCCUAUCAGCUUGUUGGUGAGGUAAUGGCUCACCAAGGCGACGACGGGUAGCCGGCCUGAGAGGGCGACCGGCCACACUGGGACUGAGACACGGCCCAGACUCCUACGGGAGGCAGCAGUGGGGAAUAUUGGGCAAUGGAGGAAACUCUGACCCAGCGACGCCGCGUGAGGGAUGAAGGCCUUCGGGUUGUAAACCUCUUUCAGUAGGGAAGAAGCGAAAGUGACGGUACCUACAGAAGAAGCACCGGCUAACUAUGUGCCAGCAGCCGCGGUAAUACAUAGGGUGCAAGCGUUGUCCGGAAUUAUUGGGCGUAAAGAGCUCGUAGGUGGUUCGAUACGUCGGAUGUGAAAAUCUGGGGCUUAACCCCAGACCUGCAUUCGAUACGGGCGAGCUAGAGUGUGGUAGGGGAGACUGGAAUUCCU
This 426-nucleotide ribosomal RNA is filed under the name uncultured Actinomycetes bacterium. RNAcentral's name for it is "bacterial SSU rRNA". It matches the Rfam family "Bacterial small subunit ribosomal RNA", at positions 233 to 671 of the family's 1533-position model. The record is from RNAcentral. Lineage: Bacteria; Bacillati; Actinomycetota; Actinomycetes.